GAGCAAGAGGGUCUACUAAUGGCUUGUACUUGCAUUGAAGGUUGGCAAAAUUAAGAAACAUUGGCGAUUCUCCGUGCCUAUCAAAUUAAUUUAAUUUUGAAUAUGGCCUCGAACAAGUCGCUACAAU
Molecule: small nucleolar RNA, 127 nt
Organism: Medicago truncatula (barrel medic)
Lineage: Eukaryota; Viridiplantae; Streptophyta; Magnoliopsida; Fabales; Fabaceae
Source: Rfam